UUCAGCCAAUGAGAAAGAGAAUACAUCAUAUAGAUCAUGUUAUAGGAAUGUGAUACAUAUAGAAAAACAAGUCUAAAUAUGGUCAUCUAUUGGUCAGGUACCCAUGAGGUCCCUUAGCAUCCCAAGGACCUUCUCCUAAGCAGGGACCAUUCCCUGUUUCACAUUUACUCCUAGUAGAGCCUUAUAUGGAAAUGGUUCUGGUACAUAGAAAACCAUAUGUUUAAAACAUAGUAUACAACUUUGACAGAGGAAAAAAAAGGAGCCUCAGUCCACAUACUUUCAAUGCUGAGACCAACAUAAAAUCUAUCAAUAUGGAAUACCUGAGCUCUCUCUUCUGCAGGAAGACGGCACGGUGUUGCUCUGCAGCUAGAGUUAGAAGUAAGGCUUUGCUUUGUUUUCACUCGACUCGUUAACCACGGCAGAUGCGAGUUCGCGUCAUCACUGAAGAGCUUGGUACCGAUUUUUCAGCACUCUUCUGCAGGGAAACGGCACGACUCCAUAGCCAGGAUUAGCAAUAAACCGAUUGGUCUCACUCCCGUUUAGCCAUGGCAGAUGCUGCGAGUCGCGUCACGGAAGAGCUGGAGCUGCUUCACCAGAUAUCGGCACGGAUGCUGGAAGGCUUGCGGACUUCCGCACCGUCACAAACGUCUCCUGUGUUCCUCCUGUGCUACUCCGUCUGUGUAUUUGAGAAUCAUAGUGGCCAGACAUUGACCCACAUUGGACAUUCUGAAUGA
Molecule: long non-coding RNA, 734 nt
Organism: Megalobrama amblycephala (Wuchang bream)
Lineage: Eukaryota; Metazoa; Chordata; Actinopteri; Cypriniformes; Xenocyprididae
Exons: 3
Source: RefSeq, a predicted model, not a curated record